This 406-nucleotide ribosomal RNA is filed under the name uncultured bacterium. Its description in RNAcentral is "partial 16S ribosomal RNA". It matches the Rfam family "Bacterial small subunit ribosomal RNA", at positions 30 to 526 of the family's 1533-position model. The record is from RNAcentral.
AUUGAACGCUGGCGUCAGGCCUAACACAUGCAAGUCGAGCGAGAGGCAGACGGGUGAGUAAUGUCUGGGAAACUGACUGAUGGAGGGGGAUAACGACUGGAAAAGGUAGCUAAUACCGCCUACCACAAGAUGUGCCCAGAUGGGAUUAGCUAGUAGGUGGGGUAAAGGAUCACCUAGGCGACGCUCCCGAGCGGUUCUGAGAGGAUGACCAGCCACACUGGAACUGAGACACUGUCCAGACUCCUACGGGAGUCAGCAGUGGUGACUAUUGCACAAUGGGCGCAAGCUUGAUGCAGCCAUGCCGCGUGUAUGAAGAAGGCCUUCGGGUUGUAAAGUACUUUCAGCGGGGAGGCGUUACCCGCAGAAGACGCACCGGCUAACUCCGUGCCAGCAGCCGCGGUAAUUC